GGGCCGGUGGUUUAGGGGUAUAAUGCUGCGUUCGCAACGCAGAAGUCGGGGGUUCAAUUCCCUCCCGGUCCA
This 72-nucleotide transfer RNA is filed under the name Cenarchaeum symbiosum A. It matches the Rfam family "tRNA". Rfam says of the family: Transfer RNA (tRNA) molecules are approximately 80 nucleotides in length. Their secondary structure includes four short double-helical elements and three loops (D, anti-codon, and T loops). The record is from Rfam by way of RNAcentral. Lineage: Archaea; Thermoproteati; Nitrososphaerota; Candidatus Cenarchaeales; Candidatus Cenarchaeaceae.